RNAcentral lists this ribosomal RNA (253 nucleotides) under uncultured bacterium. RNAcentral describes it as "partial 16S ribosomal RNA". It matches the Rfam family "Bacterial small subunit ribosomal RNA", at positions 524 to 776 of the family's 1533-position model. The record is from RNAcentral.
UACAGAGGGGGCAAGCGUUGUUCGGAAUUAUUGGGCGUAAAGCGCGCGUAGGCGGCUUUGUAAGUUAGAGGUGAAAGCCCGGGGCUCAACCCCGGAACUGCCUUUAAAACUGCAUCGCUUGAAUCCGGGAGAGGUGAGUGGAAUUCCGAGUGUAGAGGUGAAAUUCGUAGAUAUUCGGAAGAACACCAGUGGCGAAGGCGGCUCACUGGACCGGCAUUGACGCUGAGGUGCGAAAGCGUGGGGAGCAAACAGG